GUUGCCUUGUAAAUUGAAGAAUGAAGCAGAGGAUAAUGAACAUAUUGAAAUGAUUCCACAUGUUUUAUGCAUGACACAUUUGUAAUUAAAACGGAUCCUGAAGCUACUCCCACUAAGUGCUCGGUACUGGGCUAGGACAUGCUGCUCACUAUUGUGAGUGAUCGCAGCAACUCAGUUUUGAAUAUUUAUAUAUGUUGAGGUGAAGGAUCUUCCUUGACUACAUCUGAGGAGUUGUGGAAUCCUCAGAAGUAAGUCCUUCUAACAACACACUACAGUAUGAUGCGUUUCUGAUCCAAGCUGCUGUGAAUCCAUGUCAGGAGAAACCUUCAGUUGUGUUUUAAUAAAUGAAAACACAGUAGGGCUGAGAAAUCUGCAGCUACCUGGAAAAAUAAACUCCUUCCCCCUUGGAAACUGCUAAUUUCUUAAAUAUCCACAUUUGCAUUUAGUUUUGGGAAUUUAUAUUGUUUCAAUAAAAAUGAGCAUAUUUGGUUUUGGCUUUGUUCUGUGUUAUAUCCUUACCAUCUAACUCAAAAAGGGACCUCCCACUUACUA
RNAcentral lists this long non-coding RNA (552 nucleotides) under Homo sapiens (human). RNAcentral describes it as "non-protein coding lnc-METTL4-1:2". Lineage: Eukaryota; Metazoa; Chordata; Mammalia; Primates; Hominidae. The record is from RNAcentral.